AGUGAACGCUGGCGGUAGGCCUAACACAUGCAAGUCGAACGGCAGCACAGUAAGAGCUUGCUCUUACGGGUGGCGAGUGGCGGACGGGUGAGGAAUACAUCGGAAUCUACUUUUUCGUGGGGGAUAACGUAGGGAAACUUACGCUAAUACCGCAUACGACCUACGGGUGAAAGCAGGGGAUCUUCGGACCUUGCGCGAUUGAAUGAGCCGAUGUCGGAUUAGCUAGUUGGCGGGGUAAAGGCCCACCAAGGCGACGAUCCGUAGCUGGUCUGAGAGGAUGAUCAGCCACACUGGAACUGAGACACGGUCCAGACUCCUACGGGAGGCCGCAGUGGGGAAUAUUGGACAAUGGGCGCAAGCCGGAUCCAGCCAUACCGCGUGGGUGAAGAAGGCCUUCGGGUUGUAAAGCCCUUUUGUUGGGAAAGAAAAGCAGCAGGUUAAUACCCCGCUGUUCUGACGGUACCCAAAGAAUAAGCACCGGCUAACUUCGUG
This 492-nucleotide ribosomal RNA is filed under the name uncultured bacterium. Its description in RNAcentral is "partial 16S ribosomal RNA". It matches the Rfam family "Bacterial small subunit ribosomal RNA", at positions 29 to 507 of the family's 1533-position model. The record is from RNAcentral.